RNAcentral lists this ribosomal RNA (519 nucleotides) under Triticum aestivum (bread wheat). RNAcentral describes it as "partial small subunit ribosomal RNA". Lineage: Eukaryota; Viridiplantae; Streptophyta; Magnoliopsida; Poales; Poaceae. The record is from RNAcentral.
AUGAAUCCUCAAGGCUAUUGGUGCAGCCGAAAGGCAACGAGCGACCGAGUCCACACCCGGACGAAGAGUCACACGCAGCCGAGUCUACAUCACAACAAUGGCACCGUCGGCGAAGCCGAAGGGCAUCAAGUAGCCGAGUCUACACCUGGAUCACUUCACCGUGCACACCAGCGCAGGCCGGCCGCGCCACCACCACCACAACACACACCACCGUCGACCCAAGUCGGCCGCACAACCACACCACCAGAUGCAGCACCACCACAGACCGCAAGCCAGCCAAACACCACCCAAACCUCAGGUAAGCAACAUGGAGCAACGUCUCUGAAGACAGGCACCACCAAGGUGGUAACGACGUGGUGGACGCCGCUGCCGUCCGAUCCAGGAGCUGGAUCUAAGGCUUUCACCCGGAGAACGAACAGAGUAGGCAAAGGAACCAAUGCAUCACACAACGGUACCUCCAGGGAGGGAUCCGACGCUGCAGAGCGCCGCUACCGCCGAUGCCGAUCGAAGCCGACAUAG